RNAcentral lists this ribosomal RNA (514 nucleotides) under uncultured bacterium. RNAcentral describes it as "partial 16S ribosomal RNA". It matches the Rfam family "Bacterial small subunit ribosomal RNA", at positions 28 to 523 of the family's 1533-position model. The record is from RNAcentral.
GACGAACGCUGGCGGCGUGCCUAAUACAUGCAAGUCGAGCGAACCCGGGGUGCUUGCACCCUGAGGGUUAGCGGCGGACGGGUGAGUAACACGUGGGGAACCUGCCUUGCUGUCUGGGAUAACACCGGGAAACCGGAGCUAAUACCGGAUGUCCCCUUUCCGGCACCUGCCAGAGAGGGAAAAGGAGGCUUUGAGCCGCCGCAGCAAGAGGGGCCCGCGGCGCAUUAGUUAGUUGGCAGGGUAACGGCCUCCCAAGGCGACGCUGCGUAGCCGACCUGAGGGGGUGAUCGGCCACACUGGGACUGAGACACGGCCCAGACGCCUACGGGAGGCAGCAGUAGGGAAUCAUCCGCAAUGGACGAAAGUCUGACGGUGCAACGCCGCGUGAGUGAUGAAGGUUUUCGGAUCGUAAAGCUCUGUUGUGAGGGAAGAAUAGGAUGGGGAGGAAAUGCCCGAUCUGUGACGGUACCUCACCAGAAAGCCCCGGCUAACUACGUGCCAGCCGCCGCGGUAA